CCCCAGCUGGCUCAGUCAGUAGAGCAUGUGACUCUUGAUCUCAGGGUCGUGAGUUUGAGCCUCACGAUGGGUG
Molecule: transfer RNA, 73 nt
Filed under: Ailuropoda melanoleuca (giant panda)
Lineage: Eukaryota; Metazoa; Chordata; Mammalia; Carnivora; Ursidae
Rfam family: tRNA
About the family: Transfer RNA (tRNA) molecules are approximately 80 nucleotides in length. Their secondary structure includes four short double-helical elements and three loops (D, anti-codon, and T loops).
Source: Rfam by way of RNAcentral